Molecule: ribosomal RNA, 468 nt
Filed under: uncultured bacterium
Lineage: Bacteria
Description: partial 16S ribosomal RNA
Rfam family: Bacterial small subunit ribosomal RNA
Source: RNAcentral
GACGAACGCUGGCGGCGCGCCUAACACAUGCAAGUCGAACGGAGCUGAGAGAAGCUUGCUUUUCUUAGCUUAGUGGCGAACGGGUGAGUAACGCGUGAGUAACCUGCCCUGGAGUGGGGGACAACAGUUGGAAACGACUGCUAAUACCGCAUAAGCCCACGAUCCGGCAUCGGAUUGAGGGAAAAGGAUUUAUUCGCUUCAGGAUGGACUCGCGUCCAAUUAGCUAGUUGGUGAGGUAACGGCCCACCAAGGCGACGAUUGGUAGCCGGACUGAGAGGUUGAACGGCCACAUUGGGAGUGAGACACGGCCCAGAAUCCUACGGGAGGGAGCAGUGGGGGAUAUUGCACAAUGGGGGAAACCCUGAUGCAGCGACGCCGCGUGGAGGAAGAAGGUUUUCGGAUUGUAAACUCCUGUCGUUAGGGACGAUAAUGACGGUACCUAACAAGAAAGCACCGGCUAACUACGUG